UAGUCAUAAGUCCAAAUACAAAUAAAAACCAACAGGUAAAUAGCAGUAAGUAUCCAUUAGAUACCAUCGAACCCAUCAUUUUAACCGUAUUGAUAGGUAUCUUCAGGCACGUUUUAAACAAAAUAUGAUGAGUAGUAAUUUAAUUAUAACCAACGAAACCUAACUAAAUACCUUUUAUAAAGAAUCUAUACUAGUUGUACAAGAGCAAACGUUUCGCAGAGACAACAAAGUAAAAGUACAGAAUCUCCUCAAAUGUUAAAGAAAAAAGGAGAAUUAAAAGAAAAACAUUAAAAGAAAGCCUUAAAAAACCGUGUUAAACUAGAUCUGGGAUAGUAUUGCCCUAUUUUGAAAGUUUUCCCGUUACUGGGAUUUUAUGAGGUCAAGGAAGCUCGCCUUUGAGAGCUCUUUGACUUUUUGCUCACGAGCAGUACGACCACCAGAGAUGUUUUCUCUAUUUAAAGAGCUUUGAAGUUGAGCAGUACGAACAGCAUUGAAUAAUUGAACUACACCUCUGCGAGCAAUACGGCGAAGCUCACGUUCAUGGGUGAAUAAAGCUUUUGCUGUUUCAGCGUUAACUGCAACAACGCUCGUAACACGACCAACCAUCUCUUUUCUCAAUCUUUCACGUCUUCUAGAAGUACGUAGUUUAGAGUCUUUUUUUUCCGCAUUACUUUUUCGUAAAGCUUUUUUAGAUUUUUUAGACAAACUUAGAACCGGCGUGUCUUGUUCAUCAGUUUGAGUAACUUGUUGAUUUAAGAUAUCAGCAAUGUCAUCAGCAAUGGUACUUUCUUGAACUUCUUCUUCAAUUUCAUCUUCAGAACUAUUGGAUUGAUAAAAUUCGUCUUCGCUGUUCAAGUCUUCCAACUCUUCCUCAGAGUUUUCGCUAUCAUCUUUUACAAAUUUUUUAGAGGAAUCAUCUUCUUGAGAGACAAAUGAUAUAUCUUCGUUUUUUAUUUGAGAUCUUUGUGAUUUCGCCAUUAAUGUGUUGUUGUCUAAAUUUGAAAUUUUUUGACUGGAACCACCAAGUAAAGCAUGGUCUCCAAAAAAUGCACAAUAUCAAUUUGAAGCGCCUAGUUCGUUCUAAUAGAAUAAAACUGAUAUUCUGUUUCUUUAAUUAUAUAAAAAAAAUUUAAUUUUAUUUUAGGUAGUUUAGUUCAAUUUGGCGAACACUAAAAUAUUAUAAAUUUGCUCAGUAUAAUAGGAAUGGGAAUAAUUGGAAAUUUCUGACCAAAAAAACACUAAUAAAGCUCAAAGCUUGAUACGUUCAUGCUUAUGACCACGAACAGGGGCUACUCGUAUUAAAGUAAAAUAAACUAGAAUGGGUUUCAUCCAGUCUCAAAAUAGGGCUGGGCUGGUAACACAAGAAACAAAUGCUUAAUAAAAGGUAAUUAUUAAAUAAAUAUUGAUGAGAGGGGGUAAGAAUAAGAAUUAGGAAAACCUAACAGCUGUGAGACAGUAAUAAUUAAUAUUAGAAAUCAUGCACACAUCUCAAGGAAACUGAUUAACCUUGGAUUGUCGUUAAAAAAAUAAAGACUUUGAUCGUUUUCUUGAGUAUAUACACAACGGAUAAAUUAGUUCAGCCAUUUGCGAACAAUUUCGAAACUGAGGAAGGUAACCGAACUGGCAGGUAUGGUGCGUAUAAAAUUUGUUGCCAUGCCAGAGUAAUAUUUUCUCCAACCCUCUGAACGCCAUAUGUCUCGAAUAAGUAAGGUAGCCGAGUUGUGUGUAGGUGCAUCCAAACUCUGCAACCGAGUUCUCAAAACUUCAUGAGGAUAAGUGACGGUAGAAGCUGCGAUUUUAGACAAAGUAGCUGCUAACACUAUAUGAAAGUUGCUUUUUUUACCAAAAAAAUCAUCCAAAAAUGAUUUAAAAUAUUCGUACAGUGGAAAUUGGAUGCCAACAUGCAAUGUACCAAAUAAAGAGGGGAAAAGACCUCGGUAAAAUGCUGCAAGGCCUUCGUAUUUAUAAAUUUUUCGAAAUGCGUCAAAUGUGUUGUUGUAUGCAGGUGAACAUGCAGGGCCUGUGGGAGGAUUCACUGGAUGCUGUGAUGGAGAAGAUUUGACAUUCGUCCUACGCUUGAGCCAAAAGCGAGGCAUUCUCCAUUUGACGGAUGGUGCGUCCGUUUGAAGAUUACGAAACUGGACGGUUGUAGCCGCAGCAAUUUUAUCUACAAAAGAAGAAGCCCUAGGAUGUGAUUGAGUGACUAACCUUGUUUUUACAACCCAAAUGGGGUUAGUAAGAGUGACACUUGCAGCACCGGCGAUAACCGCAGAAAAGAUUUGACCACCCCAGUAACGAUAAAAUUGUUUGUCAGAACUAUCUAAGGAAGCCUUGAUGCCAACCUUGGACGAAUCAAUUUCGUGGAGAGAAGUGUAUUUUUUAUUUACCCCAAAUAGCACUUUGCAUUUUUCAUAGACUACAAAAUAAAUGGACCAACUAGGAAGAUAACCUAACAUCAUGGGUCCAACACCUCUAUAAAGACCGGCGAUGCCUUCAUUGUGAAAAAUUGUUCGCAUCGAACUGAGGGUCCCACCCAAAACCAUUGUAUUUUUUCCACCACCAGUUGAAUAAAAAGCCUUUUGUGCCUGCUUUCUUGUUUUUACUACAUCUAAAGGUGCCACUACAAGAGAAGAGGCCAAUCCAGCAGCUCCUCCUGCUAUAGCAUCCUUUAGAGAAUCAUCAACCAUAAAGACGGAUCAAUUUCCUGAUGAUAAUGCAUGCAUCUAAAGAAAACAGCAAUUAAAUAAUAGACCUUGACAAAUUCUUUACUUUUUUAGACGCUGAUAAGAACGAUCCAACGCC
Molecule: non-coding RNA, 2802 nt
Organism: Schizosaccharomyces pombe (fission yeast)
Lineage: Eukaryota; Fungi; Ascomycota; Schizosaccharomycetes; Schizosaccharomycetales; Schizosaccharomycetaceae
Source: the annotation of a GenBank genome assembly